RNAcentral lists this long non-coding RNA (238 nucleotides) under Gossypium barbadense (sea-island cotton). RNAcentral describes it as "long non-coding RNA (GBAR_LNC020859)". The record is from RNAcentral. Lineage: Eukaryota; Viridiplantae; Streptophyta; Magnoliopsida; Malvales; Malvaceae.
GGAUGUGUGAGAUGAAUAAGGGAUUUAAGGAUGAAUGAAAUGUGAAUGAAGGGGUCUAUUUAUACUUGAGGGGAAGCUUGGGAGUUUUCUAAAAAUAGCAUGCACAUCCCUUAAUAAUAUCCCUUACAUGGCCGACCAUGAAUUUUGGGAUGAAGGGUUGAUGGUUACAUGAUUUUGUGACUGAUUCUUCCUUAACUCAUGGUAUGGGGUUGGAUAACAAUCAAGGUAUUACUUGGGG